Molecule: long non-coding RNA, 190 nt
Organism: Perognathus longimembris pacificus (Pacific pocket mouse)
Lineage: Eukaryota; Metazoa; Chordata; Mammalia; Rodentia; Heteromyidae
Exons: 5
Source: RefSeq, a predicted model, not a curated record
GUCACCCCAUUGAUCGCCAGGGUUGAUUCUGCUGAUCUGGCUGGCUAGGCGGGUGUCCCCUUCCUCCCUCACCUCUCCAUGUGUGUCCCUCCCGAAGCUGCGCACUUGGUCGAAGAGGACGACCAUCCCGGAUAGAGGAGGACCGGUCUUUGGUCAAGGAGAUAGGAAGAGCGUCCUGUAAGGAAAGAGG